Trichomycterus rosablanca is the source of this 290-nucleotide long non-coding RNA. RefSeq lists it as uncharacterized. The transcript has 3 exons. NCBI's taxonomy places the organism in Eukaryota, Metazoa, Chordata, Actinopteri, Siluriformes, Trichomycteridae. The record is from RefSeq and is a predicted model, not a curated record.
CGGCAUGUUCAAACAUCGCAUUCCUGUGGACAAAGUUGCAGCACUGAGCAUUCGUGGGGAUGUUUCACUCUCCCUUUAUGGUUUCAUUGAUAACUGGAAGAAUUCCUCCUUUUUUACUGAAGGAAAAAACAUCGACAUUUCAUGGAGCCCAGCUUCCAAGAUCACACUAUUGCUGUCUGAGAUUCAUUUCCAGAUUGUCAGGCCUGCACUUCCCUAUGCAACCAAAAUUCCUGGAGGGAUAAAACCAGAUACGGCUGUAUUUUUCCAAGGGACUGUGAAUAAAUUUGCCA